Molecule: ribosomal RNA, 325 nt
Filed under: uncultured bacterium
Lineage: Bacteria
Description: bacterial SSU rRNA
Rfam family: Bacterial small subunit ribosomal RNA
Source: RNAcentral
GAUGAACGCUAGCGGCAGGCCUAAUACAUGCAAGUCGAACGCUCAGUAGCAAUACUGGGAGUGGCGCACGGGUGCGUAACGCGUACACAAUCUACCUCUAAGCGGGGGACACCUCCUGGAAACGGGGAUUAAUACCGCAUAAUAUGCCGAGGUCGCAUGACUUUGGUAUUAAAGCAGCAAUGCACUUAGAGAUGAGUGUGCGUCCCAUUAGGUAGUUGGUGAGGUAACGGCUCACCAAGCCUAUGAUGGGUAGCCGGUCUGAGAGGAUGGGUCGGCCACACGGGCACUGAGACACGGGCCCGACUCCUACGGGAGGCAGCAGUAA